AUUGAACGCUGGCGGCAGGCCUAACACAUGCAAGUCGAGCGAGCGGCGGACGGGUGAGUAAUGUCUGGGGACUGCCCGAUAGAGGGGGAUAACUACUGGAAACGGUGGCUACUACCGCAUACUAUCGGAUAACCCAUAUGGGAUUAGCUAGUUGGUGGGGUAAAGGCUCAACUAGGCGACGAUCUCUAGCUGGUCUGAGAGUAUGAUCAGACACGCUGUGACUGAUACAUGGCCCAGACUCCGACGGAGGCAGAAGGGGGGAAGAUUGCACGAUGGGCGCAAGCCUGAUGCAGCCGUGCCGCGUGUAUUAAGAAGGCCUUAGGGUUGUAAAGUACUUUCAGCGGGGAGGCGUUACGCGCAGAAGAAGCGCCGGCUAACUCCGUGCCAGCAGCCGCGGUAAUGC
Molecule: ribosomal RNA, 403 nt
Filed under: uncultured bacterium
Lineage: Bacteria
Description: partial 16S ribosomal RNA
Rfam family: Bacterial small subunit ribosomal RNA
Source: RNAcentral